This is a long non-coding RNA of Balaenoptera acutorostrata (minke whale), 918 nucleotides long. RefSeq lists it as uncharacterized. The transcript is spliced from 3 exons. The record is from RefSeq and is a predicted model, not a curated record. Lineage: Eukaryota; Metazoa; Chordata; Mammalia; Artiodactyla; Balaenopteridae.
CAGUUAUGACACCACUAUGUGGUCAUUCAGUACUAUACUGUGCCCAUGUGUCUCUGGAAUAAAACUUAUUCACAGAAAAGACAAGCAGUCUGGUACAUGGGGAGCUCUUCUAAAACCACUCUCUCGAAGACAAAAGAAAAUAAGACUGGUAUUGAAGUGGAGCCAUUCUCCAAACAGCUCCCGUCCGCUGGAACCGAGGCCUCGCUAAAUGCAAACGAUUAGAGCUUCACGGAAGAUUAGAAAACAUUCUAUUGCAAACAGCUCUCCCAGAUCCACAGAAACAGUUUUCAAGAAUCAUGGAUCUGAUACCUCCAAGUGCUCUCGCCUCACAUUCGGCUACAGCUGCGGUGACGAGGUACACGUGAGCCGCCGUCAUCUUUGCACAGGUGUGGCCAGGACAUGCUUCACCUCAGGCACUGGCCCCUCCUCUCCAGCCUCCUUCCCAGUACCUUCUCCUACCAGGAGGCAUGGGAAGCCUGCAUAGACUAUUGGCUCAAAAGCCAAAAUGCAGAAGAGCUGACAACCUGUGAGAAAAUCCUUGAAAACGGAGAAGAGAAACUCACAGAAAAGUGCUUUUUUUCCUUUCCUCCAUCAGACUGGCAGUUCUGAGAUGCAUUCCAUAAAGGUUCUCAGAUCAUCAUGAAAUAGCACAUCUGUGAAAUCACGCAUCUGUCACAUGCAGUGAUCACCAACUGGAUAACACAUCUUGUAUUAAUAUUCCCUCCUUCCUGGUUGCGCUCUACCGGGCUCUCACGUCUGCUUCCUGGGAGCGUAUUCCACAUAGACCCCUGCCAGCAAACUUUAUCUCAGGUCAGCUUUGGGGGAGACCCAGGUUAAAACAAUUCAAAUGGUCCCUUGUUGCUUGAGUUGUUUACUAAAGUUCAGUGAAACUGAAAUUUUUUACAUUUUCUUCAUUGG